CCGGGUGUGGCGCAGAUGGUAGCGUGCUUGAAUGGGGUUCAAGAGGCCGCUGGUUCAAAUCCAGUCACUCGGACCA
This is a transfer RNA of 76 nucleotides. It matches the Rfam family "tRNA". From Rfam's summary of the family: Transfer RNA (tRNA) molecules are approximately 80 nucleotides in length.